Molecule: unclassified non-coding RNA, 329 nt
Filed under: plant metagenome
Description: partial contains 5.8S ribosomal RNA, internal transcribed spacer 2, and large subunit ribosomal RNA
Rfam family: 5.8S ribosomal RNA (bases 1-105)
Source: RNAcentral
GAAAUGCGAUAAGUAAUGUGAAUUGCAGAAUUCCGUGAAUCAUCGAAUCUUUGAACGCACAUUGCGCCCUCUGGUAUUCCGGGGGGCAUGCAUGUCCGAGCGUCAUUGCGAACCCCUCAAGCACGGCUUGUGUGAUGGGCCCUCCCGCGUCUUGGUCGUCAAGACGGGCCCGAAAUGCAGUGGCGGCUUCGCGGUUAUCCGAUCAGCCAGAGCGUAUGGGGACUUUCUCUCUGUCACACGCCCGCGGCGCGGACCGACGCCUGUCGACCUUCAUUCAUCGUUUUCUCGGUUGACCUCGGAUCAGGUAGGGAUACCCGCUGAACUUAAGC